AGGCGCGUAGUAUAACUGGAUAGUACGAAACCUUGCGGAGGUUUUAAUCUGGGUUCAAAUCCCAGCGUGCCUA
RNAcentral lists this transfer RNA (73 nucleotides) under Candidatus Pacearchaeota archaeon. RNAcentral describes it as "tRNA-Arg". It matches the Rfam family "tRNA". Rfam says of the family: Transfer RNA (tRNA) molecules are approximately 80 nucleotides in length. Their secondary structure includes four short double-helical elements and three loops (D, anti-codon, and T loops). Lineage: Archaea; Nanobdellati. The record is from RNAcentral.